Long non-coding RNA from Sapajus apella (tufted capuchin), 634 nucleotides. RefSeq lists it as uncharacterized. NCBI's taxonomy places the organism in Eukaryota, Metazoa, Chordata, Mammalia, Primates, Cebidae. The transcript has 3 exons. The record is from RefSeq and is a predicted model, not a curated record.
AGUGGCUGCUGUCAGGAGAGCAGCGUGGUUGGUUCAUCCAUGUGAGGGGGGGCAGGAAGGAGAGGGUCAGGGACCGGGUGGGCCACCAGUCUUCACUUUGCAGACUGAAGGCACCUGGCUGCAGAAGGAUCUCUGGACCUACCUGGCCUCCGUCAAAGCCAUGCACGAGGCCUCCAAGAAGCUGAAUGAGUGUCUGCAGGAGGUGUAUGAGCCUGACUGGCCCGGCAGGGUUUAGGCCAACAAAUCGCAGAGAACAAUGACCUGCUGUGGAUGGAUUACCAUCAGAAGCUGGUGGACCAGGCGCUGGUGACCAUGGACACGUACUUGGGCCAGUUCCCCGACAUCAGGGUGAGAGGCCUGCUUGCAGGUGCCUGGCUUCCUGGAGGGACCUGGAGAGAGGACAGGGCCCAGGGCGUGCGGCUGAGGCCAGGAGGAGGCUGCCCUGGAGGCAAGAAGCCCCUGACCUAGCAUUUUAUCCUCCAGAGCUGCUCCCUCUGCUGCCAGCCCGCCGCCCCCAUUCCCCAGACCUGGGUCUUCCUGUCCCUUUUGGUCUCAGGGCUGUGGGAGGAGGUCCCACGGUGUGUGUGUGUGUGUGUGUGUGUGUGUGUGUGUGUGUGGCUGCAGAGUGGCUGGC